UUUGCUAAAAGGCAUUUAAUGAGCUAUAAAAAAAACUUAUCUACCCUUAUUAAAGGUGCGCAGGAGGGGGGAGACAAGCAAUAAAUGAAAGGUAUAGGUUGUCCAGCCCACCUUUUAGCAAGUUUUAGCAACCAAAAACUUGCUAAAGUGCUAAACUUUAGCAACUCAACUUUAGCAAGUUUUAGCAAGGGUGUUUGGCAGUUUAGCAGCUAAAAGUUGCCACCCCUGCCGGUUACCUUACACCUUCCAUGCAUGUGGAUGCAAUACUACACCGGGGCACGUAUGAACAAUUAUCAAUAAUUCAG
This 305-nucleotide long non-coding RNA is filed under the name Setaria viridis. RNAcentral describes it as "long non-coding RNA (SVIR_LNC002220)". The record is from RNAcentral. Lineage: Eukaryota; Viridiplantae; Streptophyta; Magnoliopsida; Poales; Poaceae.